AGGUCAUUGGGUGAGUUACUUGCAGGCCCUAACUGACCUAGAAGUACUCAUGAGUCAUGCAAGUAACUGAUACAUCCUACCAGCAAAUUUUGUGGGAUAAAGCUUCUUCGUUUGUGCAUAACUGGGGCAAGCUUUACACUGAAAUAAAGGUGGGUCCAGUGCUUUUUUCUUAGAUAUUUCAGCAUGGCUUGACAUCCUUGAUGCUAUCAGUGUAAGCCAGUUCAAUAUGUUACAAGCAUCUCAUUGGGAAGGUUUUGAUCAUUUGUCCCAAGG
Molecule: long non-coding RNA, 273 nt
Organism: Cryptomeria japonica (Japanese cedar)
Lineage: Eukaryota; Viridiplantae; Streptophyta; Pinopsida; Cupressales; Cupressaceae
Exons: 3
Source: RefSeq, a predicted model, not a curated record